AGCAGCCGAGUCCAGCAAUGUGGACAGCCAGACGCAUGCUUGGUGGAGGCAGCCAGCGCCCCCAUCCUGGUCUCGGUCAUCAGUUCCAUCAAUGACAAAUGCUGCUGGGGCCCAUGAGGACCACCCGCGCCACUCACAUGUUGCUUUCCUUCUGCGAUCUGCUAGCUUCCGAGAUGGCCAAGGCAGAUGCACUCAUGGCUCAGUGAGAAGGUGAACGUCACCUCUGCGUUCACUGCUAAUGGAGACUGGAGUAAUGAUGUCUGGUCCGCGUUAAGGCGGGCAGCUCGGCAGCCCACACCUUUGGUUUUCUGGUCUCAGGCCCAUUAUGGAUAAGCUGGUGUGGGGUGGGGCAGGGGAGUUUCAGGGGCUGGAAGGGCCUCAUGGCAGCCCCACGUAGAGGCUGCCUAGCCCCUGGACUGGCCCCACCAAGGGGAACAGGACAUUGCAGCUGGGCUUGGGGAAGAAGGGAGGCCUGUCCUUUUGAUUCUUCUUUCUGGCAUCCUGUGUGUGCACGUCUGUGUAGGUGUGUGUACACAUGCACACCUGCCUAUAGUUUCUUUCCACUUGGAAUUGGUUUUGACAAAAAGGUGCGUCAGCUUCCCAAGCUGGUCCCUGUAACAGUGAAGGAUGGAGCCUCAUCCUCAUCCCAGAGCCACACCCUCAGCUUCCCCUGGAAAAGGCAGCGGCUUCUUCCGAUCCACACCCUCAGCUUCCCCCGGAAAAGGCAGCAGCUUCUUCUGAUGCAUGGAUACAGCCCCCACUACGGAGCUGGGGAGGGAGCUGCAGGCAGCCUUGACCCCAGACCAAAUUCAAAGGACCUGCCUCUUCCAAAGGCCUCCCUCCAAGGGCCACGGGGACCCCAUGACCGUCCUCUCAUCCCAAGCUGGCUGCAUGGGGUGGGCUGGUUUAUACGCAGAUAAGACUGCACCUGCUGAUGAGGCCAGAUGCAGGUGAACCCCGGUGCUGCAAAUGAGGAGUCUGCAGAUGGGGUGAGGCUGAAAGGCAGUUGUGGAAGGCCGGGCAGUGGCAGCCACGUGGCAGAGGAGGGGGUGGGAGACCCGGGGCAGGGAUGGGACAGCCAUGGGGUGCAGGAGACUGCACCCCCUGUGAAGGACAGGCCAGCGGCCAGCCCCCAGGCCACCCUGGCUCCUGUCAGCAUCCCAGGUCGAGUCCACUGUCAUCCUCAUCUGAACACCCUGACUGCAUCUAACACCAGGGCAUCUGCUUCCUGGCCUCUGCAGGGCCCACUCUACAGCCUCUGACGCUAUGUGCGAUGGUCUCAGGGUCAGGGCCAAGAGCACUGUGAUAGCGAAUUUCAUGUGUCAACCUGAGUGGGCCUUGGGUGCCUAGACAUUUAGCCAAGCAUCGUUCUGGGUGUGCUGUGGGUGUUUCCAGGUGAGAUUAGCAUGUGAAGGGUGGCCCUCCCCAGGGUGGUGGGCCUCGUCCAAUCAGUUGGGGGCCUACAUAGAUCCAAAGGCUGAGUGAGAGGGCCUCCUCCUGUGACAGCUGCAGCUGGGACCUCGGUCUUUUCCUGCCUUUGGGCUUGGACUGAAAUGCCAGCUCUUCUUGGGUCUUCAGCCUUCAGGCUGGAACCUGCAGCAGCAUUUCUCUGGUUCUUGGGCCUUCAGACUCAGACUGGACCGAAACCAUCAGCUCUCCUGGGCCUCCAGCUUGCCAACGACAGGUCUCGGGACUUGCCCCUUCCAUAAGUGCUUGAGCCAGGUCUUCAGGAUAAAUCUCUUUCCACCUAUCCUGUUGGUUGUGUUUCUCUGGAUAACUCAGACUAAUACAAGCCAGUCCUUCCAUA
Long non-coding RNA from Homo sapiens (human), 1807 nucleotides. Ensembl annotates it as SLCO4A1 antisense RNA 2. Its record names the gene SLCO4A1-AS2. Lineage: Eukaryota; Metazoa; Chordata; Mammalia; Primates; Hominidae. The record is from Ensembl.